UCAAGUCCUGAGCUCUGCUCUGCCGCCUGCUGGUGCCUUGUAAAGGUAUACUCGUUACAGGCCCUAGAGGUUCUAAUGGUCCAGGGUUAAGUGAGAGGAGAC
Non-coding RNA from Homo sapiens (human), 102 nucleotides. NCBI's taxonomy places the organism in Eukaryota, Metazoa, Chordata, Mammalia, Primates, Hominidae. The record is from RefSeq and is marked provisional.